CCUUCCAGUAGCACCUUAAAGACCAACUAAGUUAGUUCUUGGUAUGAGCUUUCGUGUGCAUGCACACUUCUUCAGAUACCUUUUGACCAACUAAGUUACCAGAUGUUCUUGGUAUGAGCUUUCGUGUGCAUGCACACUUCUUCAGAUACACUGAAACAGAAGUUGCCAGAUCCUUCUAUAUAGUGAGAAGGUGGGGAGGGGUAUUACUCAGAAGGGUGGUGGGAAUGGGUGAUUGGCAGAUAGCUGUGAUGAGCCUGUUGACGACUUAACGACUGCAAUAGGUCUUACAGGAAAAAGCAAGGGGUGAGAAGGUGAAAAAUGGCUUUGUCAUGUAUAAUGAGAUAAGAAUCCAAUGUCUUUGUUCAGACCAGGUCUCUCCAUGGUUUUAAGUUUGGUAUGAGUUGCAAUUCAGCAGCUUCUCUUUCCAGUCUAUUUCUGAAAUUCCUUUGUAGUAAAACAGCUACUUUGAGAUCUUGUAUAGAAUGUCCUGGGAGAUUGAAGUGUUCUCCUACUGGUUUCUCUGUCUUGUGAUUCUUGAUGUCCGAUUUAUGUCCGUUUAUUCUUUGGCGUAAGGUUUGGCCUGUUUGUCCAAUAUAGAGAGCUGAAGGACACUGUUGGCAUUUGAUGGCAUAUACAAUGUUAGACGAUGAGCGAUUAAAUAGUCCCGAGAUGGUAUGUGUGAUGUUGUUGGGGCCAGUAAUGGUGUUGUCCGGGUGUAUGUGGCAGCAAAGUUGGCAUCUGGGUUUAUUGCAGGCUCUGGUGCCAGUGUCUGUGUUACGUCUGGUUGUAGUAUUAUUGUGGGUUAGGAGUUGUUUAAGAUUGGGUGGCUGUCUGUAGGCAAUGAAAGGUCUUCCUCCCAGAGCUUGAGAAAGAGAACUAUCAUUGUCCAGGAGAGGUUGUAGA
Long non-coding RNA from Podarcis raffonei (Aeolian wall lizard), 903 nucleotides. RefSeq lists it as uncharacterized. The transcript is spliced from 3 exons. Lineage: Eukaryota; Metazoa; Chordata; Lepidosauria; Squamata; Lacertidae. The record is from RefSeq and is a predicted model, not a curated record.